Molecule: ribosomal RNA, 217 nt
Filed under: Oxyrrhis marina
Lineage: Eukaryota; Dinophyceae; Oxyrrhinales; Oxyrrhinaceae
Description: partial Bacterial large subunit ribosomal RNA
Rfam family: Bacterial large subunit ribosomal RNA
Source: RNAcentral
UAAGCGCAUGUGGUGGAUGCCUUGGCGGCAUAAGGCGAUGAAGGACGUAGUAGUCUGCGAUAAGCUUCGGUAAGCUGACAAACAAGCUUUGACCCGGAGAUUUCCGAAUGGGAAAACCCACUCUACAUAAGUAGAGUAUCUCCAUCCGAAUACAUAGGAUGGUAGAAGCAAACCUGGAGAACUGAAACAUCUUAGUAACCAGAGGAAAAGAAAUCAA